This 328-nucleotide long non-coding RNA is filed under the name Mytilus galloprovincialis (Mediterranean mussel). Lineage: Eukaryota; Metazoa; Mollusca; Bivalvia; Mytilida; Mytilidae. The record is from RNAcentral.
ACUUUAUGAUGCAGAAGUUAAAAAGAAAUUUUGCAUAGAACUUAAGAACAGGUUUAAAGCAUUAGAAGAUCUCAGUCAGAUGGAAGAAAUUGAUCUAGAAAAUAAGUGGGAAAACAUCAAACAAGUCUACCAAGAGACCGCUGAAAAAACAAUUGGAUUUCGUAGAAAGAACGAUAAACAAUGGCUAACACAAGACACCUGGACAAUAAUUGAUGAGAGACGAAAGAUUAAAGAAAAAGUCCUUAACACCAAGUCACUUAGACUAAAAGAACAGCUGCAGAAAGAAUACAACCAAAAGGAUAAAGAGGUGAAAAGAUCAGCAAGAAAG